ACUUCGAUUUCAUCUUCUUCGUUCAGUCACUCGCCGCUCCCCUCUCUCCCUGUCCGUCUGCCACUCUCCUUUCUCCCUGUCCGUCCAUUAGCAUCACUCAACUUUGUCGUCAGCGUCGAUAAGGAAACAAGCCCUCAAACAAAUAGGAAAAUCUGGAAGAUACUGAAGGCUUGUUUCUUGAGCCCCUGUCCUCAACAAACUCUUCAAUCCUUGUCCUUCAAGAAGUCAGCUUCUCUUUCACUUCUUUAAUGGCUUUCUCUUCUGCUUCUCCUUCUGUCUUCAUCAAUAAAAGCAAGUUAUUUAGAAAUCUUCCUAAAAAUUUGUGACAUGAUUGAUAUACAAGUCAAACCAUAAAUUUCAUAAAAUAUAUACCUGUUUCUAAAUGAAAUCAGCCCAAAACCGAAUCUGGCUUCGUAUAUAGGGAUCUUGAGGUAGAAGGGAAGGGCCAAUGUUCUUCCAAACUUCCUCUGUGUACUAAAAAAUUACCGAUGGUUCGCAAAUGGGUCUUCCAUUGUGGAAGAGUACAAGAACGUUCUUGUAAACAGGCUUGUUGCUUAAAAGUAAUAGGCAGAAGGCUUGCUUUAAUUGUGAAAAAAUAGAGGUUAUGACUAAAAAGAAAUAAAAUUAAAUUGGUUGAAGGAUGAAGUUCUUAGUUCAAUUUGAAAAUUGAAAAAGAAAGAGAGGAUGAAAGAGGGGGAUUUGGAGGAGAGAGGAGAGGAGAGAGAAUAUAAGAGGAGAGAGAAGUGGAAAAAAAUUAAAAAUAUUUAUUUAUUAAAGUCAUCUUGCCACUUCACCAUUUAGUCUAUUAAAUUUAUUAGUAGAUGGACCUUUUAAAUCUAUUCUUGAAAACUAUGACUAUGUCAUAUUUGAUGACUAUUUUGUUUUUUGUUUUUAUUUUUGAAAAUUAACUUUCAAAAAGUUUGUUUUUGUUAGAGAAAUUUGGCUAAGAAAUCAACCAUUGUACUUAAAGUUGCAAUUCAUGGUAAGAAAUAUAAAUGAAAUAUGCUUAAUUUUCAAAAAACUAAAGAUUAUUAAACUUAGUAAUGUGUUAAUUUAAAUUUUAUUUUUUAUAGGAUUCAUUGUUUGCGAAUGAGACUUCAAAUCAAAGUCAUUCUAGUUCAGUAAGAUUGUUAGGAAAAAGAAAACCUAAUAAACCAGCUUCAUGGGCAUGAGAACAUAGAAGGAAGUAGUCCUGAAUAUCGAGGGUUGCUUGCAAGUACUGUAGGGUUAUGUAUGCAUGUGAUUCCAAGAGAAAUGGUACAACAAAUCUAAAAAGACAUAUAGAGAAAUGUAAGAAGUAUAUAAAUAAGUCAAAAGAUUAUGUUGAAGGAGAGGGAGAUUCUGAAAGUAGUUUGAUGGCUACAUCCUUCACUCAAGAAAAUUGUAGAACAAUGUUUGCUUGUAUGGUCAUAUUAGAUGAAUUGCCAUUUAAGUUUGUAGAAAGUGAAAGGUUUCGUAAAUUUUUUCAGGUAUUAAAUUCGAAGUUUAUAAUUCCAUCAAGAGUAACUCUUACAAGGGAUUGUUUUCAAAUGUACAUGGGGGAGGAAAAAAAGUUAAAGAGUGCAUUAACUCAAAAUGGUCAAAGAGUUUGUUUAACAAUUGAUACAUGGACUUCCAUGUAGAUUAUUAAUUAUAUGGUUAUAACAACUCAUUUUAUUGACGACGGUUGGAAUUUGCACAAAAGGAUUCUUAACUUUUGUCAAAUAGCUAAUCAUAGAUGAGAUACAAUAGGUAGAGCAAUUGAAAAAUGCUUAGAAAGUUGGGGUAUUGAUAGCCUUUUUACCAUAGUAGUUGAUACUGCAAGAUCAAAUUAAAUGAUAGAGUUAUUACAUAUUUGGUUAAAAAGUUUAGAGACAAAAAUGGAUUGGUGUUAGAUAGUGAAUUUAUUCAGGUUAGAUGUUGUGCCCAUAUCCUUAAUUUAAUAGUUAGUGAUGCUUUAAAAGAUUUACACAUGCCUAUCAUUCAAAUUAGAAAUGUUGUGAAGUAUGUUAGGUCAUCUCCUACAAGAUUACAAAUAUUUAAAGAUUUUGCUAAAGAAGAUAAGAUGUCAACAAAAAAUUGUCUUACAAUGGAUGUCCCAACACGAUGGAAUUCAACUUUCAGUAUGUUGGACGGAGUGAUUAAGUGUCAAAAGACAUUAGAAAGAUUAGAGGAGCAUGAUCCAAGUUAUUUUCCAAAGGAUGAUAUGCCUAGUAUUGGAUAUUGGAAUAAUGCAAAAGUGUUUGUAGAGUUCCUAAAGACUUUCUUAGAGGUAACGAUAAAGUUUUCAGCAUCUAUGUUUGUGACUUCAAACAUAUUUUUUCAUGAACUAUGUUUGAUCCAAGAAAUAAUUCAUGAAUACUCGUUGCAUAAGAAUGCAUUAUUGAGUCAAAUGACAUUAAGCAUGCAGAAAAAAUUCAUCCAGUAUUGUGGUAUAACUACAAGUGAGAAGACAAAUUUAUUGUUAUAUGUUGCUGUAGUUCUGGACCGUACAUACAAGAUGACUUAUUUGAGUUAUUGCUUUAAUGAAUUUUUGGAGGAAGAAAGUGAAAAAAAUGGACGAAUAAGGUUGAAGAAGCAUUUCGUCAUUUGUGUGAUGAUUAUUAUAUAAGAAUGUCAAUGCCAAAAGAACAAUAUCCACAGAUACAUCAUCCACACCUAUUAAAGGAUUUAGCUUUCAAAGUCAGAGUGAAACACCUUCUAUCUCAUCUAGUGGAUCGAGUGGAACUGGAUCUUAUAAGGUACGUAUUGUGGUUCAUGGUAGAUUUAAACAAAUUAAUAAAACAAAUCUAGAUAAUGCUAAAACAGAGGUGGCUUGUUAUCUAGAUAGGCUCGUAUAGAGAUGCUAAUCGAUUUAAGAUUAUUAGCCAAGUAGCCAGGGAUAUCUACAGUAUUCCAAUAUUUACUGUGCCAUCUGAGAUGGCCUUUAGCACUAGAGAAUGGGUGUUAGAUUCUUUUCAAAGUUCAUUAACUCCUCAAACUAUAGAGGCACUCAUUCGUGCUCAAAAUUGGCUUCAAUCUAAACCUUUGGAUGAUAUGACUAAAGAAAUUGAUGGAGCUGAAGAAAUUGACGAGGGUAAUAAAUAAUGUUAUCAUAAUGGCUACAAAUUUUAUUUAUUUCAUUAUUUGGAAAUUUUCAUUUAUGAGCUAAUUGUUUUUUAUUUUGAUCUAGAAUUCAUAAACAUACAAAAGGAGAUUGAAGCUGCCUUUGAGAAUUUAGAUUAUAAUUCUACGGUUAGUGUUGAAGUAUGAUGAUGCAAUUGGAAUACAAGAUGAAGAUGAAGAUAAAAGACUUGAUGAAGGGUUUUGGGAAGAAUUAUAUAGAAUGUUGAUGAAUUUUCCUUUUCCCCUUUAAACAAAUUUGUUUUCAUUUUACAAAACUUGUAUUUCUUCUCUUUCAAUUUGUGUUGUUGAUAAUUUUUUGUG
Molecule: non-coding RNA, 3405 nt
Organism: Benincasa hispida (wax gourd)
Lineage: Eukaryota; Viridiplantae; Streptophyta; Magnoliopsida; Cucurbitales; Cucurbitaceae
Source: RefSeq, a predicted model, not a curated record